AUAGGUAUAGAUAUAUAAAUAUAGAUAGAUAGAUAGAUAGAUAGGAAUAGGUAUAGGUAUAGGUAUAGAUCAAUAGGAAUAGAUAGAUAGGAAGAUUGGUUUUGGUAUUGAUAUAAAGGUAUAGAUAGAUAGAUAGAUAGAUUGGAAUAGGUAUAGAUUAAUAGGAAUAGAUAGAUAAAUAGGUAUAGAUAAAUAGAUAGAUAGAAAGAUAGUAAGAUUGGUUUAGGUAUAGAUAUAAAGGUAUAGAUAGAUAGAUGACUUUAGAUGACUAAUCCCUGAAGGGAAAUUAAAUUGUCAUGGCAGUCCAGCAGAAUACCAUGAAUUAAAUAAAAUACUAAAAAGACCAGAG
Xyrichtys novacula (pearly razorfish) is the source of this 349-nucleotide non-coding RNA. The record is from the annotation of a GenBank genome assembly. NCBI's taxonomy places the organism in Eukaryota, Metazoa, Chordata, Actinopteri, Labriformes, Labridae.